Molecule: ribosomal RNA, 428 nt
Filed under: uncultured bacterium
Lineage: Bacteria
Description: partial 16S ribosomal RNA
Rfam family: Bacterial small subunit ribosomal RNA
Source: RNAcentral
ACGCUGGCGGCAGGCCUAACACAUGCCAGUCGAGCGCGCCCUUCGGGGUGAGCGGCGGACGGGUGAGUAACGCGUGGGAACGUGCCCUUCUCUGCGGAAUAGCCUCGGGAAACUGAGAGUAAUACCGCAUACGCCCUUUGGGGGAAAGAUUUAUCGGAGAAGGAUCGGCCCGCGUUGGAUUAGGUAGUUGGUGGGGUAAUGGCCCACCAAGCCGACGAUCCAUAGCUGGUUUGAGAGGAUGAUCAGCCACACUGGGACUGAGACACGGCCCAGCCUCCUACGGGAGGCAGCAGUGGGGAAUCUUAGACAAUGGGGGCAACCCUGAUCUAGCCAUGCCGCGUGAGUGAUGAAGGCCUUAGGGUUGUAAAGCUCUUUCAGCUGGGAAGAUAAUGACGGUACCAGCAGAAGAAGCCCCGGCUAACUCCGUG